This 465-nucleotide ribosomal RNA is filed under the name uncultured bacterium. Its description in RNAcentral is "partial 16S ribosomal RNA". It matches the Rfam family "Bacterial small subunit ribosomal RNA", at positions 339 to 795 of the family's 1533-position model. The record is from RNAcentral.
CUACGGGGUGCUGCAGUGAGGAAUAUUGCGCAAUGGGGGAAACCCUGACGCAGCGACGCCGCGUGGAUGAUGAAGGCCUUAGGGUCGUAAAAUCCUGUCAGGUGGGAAGAAGUGGAUAUAGAUUAAUACUCUAUUUCUUUGACGGUACCACCAAAGGAAGCACCGGCUAACUCCGUGCCAGCAGCCGCGGUAAUACGGAGGGUGCAAACGUUGUUCGGAAUUACUGGGCGUAAAGCGCGCGUAGGCGGUUUGUUAAGUCAGAUGUGAAAGUCCAUGGCUCAACUGUGGAAGUGCAUUUGAAACUGGCAGACUUGAGUACUGGAGGGGGUGAUGGAAUUCCCGGUGUAGAGGUGAAAUUCGUAGAUAUCGGGAGGAACACCGGUGGCGAAGGCGAUCACCUGGCCAGAUACUGACGCUGAGGUGCGAAAGCGUGGGGAGCAAACAGGAUUAGAUACCCCAGUAGUC